UGGCUGGUCGCCUGCGUCAUUUCGGCGUCACCGCGCUCGUGCAGAGUGACGUCAUAACCCGCGCGCGCGAACAGCAAUGCCUGCCAUGACCCGGCAAUGCCCGCACCGAUAAUUAAUAUUGACGGAAGAUUCCCCUCGCGGAGAUGUGGCUUUCUGUAACAUCCCUGUCCCUUCGCCGGCAUGACCCGGAUCAGGUUCAAAGGGUCACCGCGCAUCACGCGGUAUCUCAGCUCCACGCCGGAGCCCCCCUCGGAACAUCAAUACGAUAGACCCGAUGAUCCGGGGUUUCGAUGAUCCGGGGUUUCAAUGGCCGGAGCCCCGACGUGGCAUGGCUUUUCCGCAUCGUGGGAACGCGUUUCCGCAUUUCGCAUCGCAAAGAUUGGCGCACAAAGC
This 393-nucleotide unclassified non-coding RNA is filed under the name Hevea brasiliensis (rubber tree). The record is from RNAcentral. Lineage: Eukaryota; Viridiplantae; Streptophyta; Magnoliopsida; Malpighiales; Euphorbiaceae.